CCUACGGGAGGCAGCAGUGAGGAAUAUUGGUCAAUGGUCGGGAGACUGAACCAGCCAAGCCGCGUGAGGGAUGAAGGUACAGAGUAUCGUAAACCUCUUUUGUCAGGGAACAAAGGCGGGGACGCGUCCCCGGAUGAGUGUACCUGAAGAAAAAGCCUCGGCUAACUCCGUGCCAGCAGCCGCGGUAAUACGGAGGAUGCGAGCGUUAUCCGGAUUUAUGGGGGUUAUAGGGUGCGAAGGCGGUCUGUUAAGUCAGCGGUCAAAGCCCGGGGCUCAACCCCGGCCCGCCGUUGAAACUGGCAGUCUCGAGUUGGAGAGAAGUAUGCGGAAUGCGCGGUGUAGCGGUGAAAUGCAUAGAUAUCGCGCAGAACUCCGAUUGCGAAGGCAGCAUGCCGGCUCCACACUGACGCUGAGGCACGAAAGCGUGGGUAUCGAACAGGAUUAGAUACCCCGGUAGUC
RNAcentral lists this ribosomal RNA (459 nucleotides) under uncultured bacterium. RNAcentral's name for it is "partial 16S ribosomal RNA". It matches the Rfam family "Bacterial small subunit ribosomal RNA", at positions 338 to 795 of the family's 1533-position model. The record is from RNAcentral.